UACGUAGGCGGAAGAUUAAGUCAGUGGUGAAAUCCUGCAGCUUAACUGUAGAACUGUCAUUGAUACUGGUUUUCUUGAAUUUAGUUGAGGUAGGCGGAAUGUGUAAUGUAGCGGUGAAAUGCUUAGAUAUUACACAGAACACCGAUUGCGAAGGCAGCUUACUAAACUAUGAUUGACGCUGAGGUACGAAAGCGUGGGGAGCGAACAGGAUUAGAUACCAUGGUAGUCC
Molecule: ribosomal RNA, 229 nt
Filed under: uncultured bacterium
Lineage: Bacteria
Description: partial 16S ribosomal RNA
Rfam family: Bacterial small subunit ribosomal RNA
Source: RNAcentral